UGGGGAAUAUUGCACAAUGGGGGAAACCCUGAUGCAGCGACGCCGCGUGAGCGAAGAAGUAUUUCGGUAUGUAAAGCUCUAUCAGCAGGGAAGAAAAUGACGGUACCUGACUAAGAAGCUCCGGCUAAAUACGUGCCAGCAGCCGCGGUAAUACGUAUGGAGCAAGCGUUAUCCGGAUUUACUGGGUGUAAAGGGAGCGUAGGCGGUACGGCAAGUCAGAAGUGAAAUGCCGGGGCUCAACCCCGGCACUGCUUUUGAAACUGUCGAACUGGAUUGCAGGAGAGGUAAGUGGAAUUCCUAGUGUAGCGGUGAAAUGCGUAGAUAUUAGGAGGAACACCAGUGGCGAAGGCGGCUUACUGGACUGUAAAUGACGCUGAGGCUCGAAAGCGUGGGGAGCAAACAGGAUUAGAUACC
RNAcentral lists this ribosomal RNA (414 nucleotides) under uncultured bacterium. Its description in RNAcentral is "bacterial SSU rRNA". It matches the Rfam family "Bacterial small subunit ribosomal RNA", at positions 355 to 786 of the family's 1533-position model. The record is from RNAcentral.